GUUCCAGUCCCUGGACAUGUGCAUAGGAAAGGGAUGGACAGAUGUUAUUUUGAUUGAAUGAUGCGUGCGCACAACUGUCAAAAAGAAGAAGAAGACGGAAUCUGCAGAGAAGUCUAAGCAAAUUUCUGGUUGUGAAAAACAAAUGGAGUUCAAGCGGAGUCGCCGGUAUAUCUAUUUCAUUCGGACGCAGAUGUUUCCAUGCUGAACACGUUCAAGAUAUGCUUGCUGAUUAGCAAAAACUGUCGUGAUACGUUCAAUUCUCGAAGUCUUGUUGGAAUCAUAAACUGCGAAAAGCUGACAAUAUUUUAUUAAAAGUUGUAAUUCUCGCUUU
Molecule: long non-coding RNA, 331 nt
Organism: Hermetia illucens (black soldier fly)
Lineage: Eukaryota; Metazoa; Arthropoda; Insecta; Diptera; Stratiomyidae
Exons: 2
Source: RefSeq, a predicted model, not a curated record